CGGCCCUAAGCUGUCGUCUAUAGGUGCGUCCUGCUGGCGGGAAUGAAACGUUUGCCGCAGAAUACGUCACUCCCAUUUCUAGCGAGAUGCCGCCGGCGAUUAGCCGGCUUCAUUUUCUCUGGCGGUUGCCUCGGUCUAAUGGACCGCGGUCGUCCUGCGGCAAGACGCUUUUAAAUACAAGGCUACUCUCAAAAUCGACCGGCCAUGUUGGUUUGGACACACAUUCGCAUCAGUUCGUCGCUCAAUCGCGAGUUACAGCCUGCAGCCUGCUAGCUAGCAAAGUCAUCGACUACCAUCGUUUAAAUACCUUGGCCAGAGCAUAACCGGUUAUCUUCACCCAAGAGACCUACUAUUGGUCAAUCAUUUUGGCUUUAAAGGUAAAUGCAUUGUUAGUCACAAUGUCUAGUUACUGGGCCAAAAGGAAAAUAAUAUUGAAAAGAGUUGAGAGGGACAAACAGGACAUUCACUUGAAUCACUACAUGCUACAGAAGUUGCAUCGAUUCCAGAAAACCAGGAAAAUGUUGAGCCAUCUGUAGACUUCAGAGCUGGUAUGUAAAAUGUAUUGCUCUGAUGCUUAAUUUGUGAUCCUGUAAAUAAACUAUACACUUUGUUACAUUUUCAAAAUUCUGUUCCCUCUUUCUCAGAACCAGGUUUCUCCCCAGUAAUCCAGACUCCACAGAGCCAAUAGUUUGAGUACAAAUAAGUGAUUUUAUUUGUGACGUUUUUUUUGUCUUGGAAACUAUUGCUUCUAUUUAAUAUUAGGAAUCCUUUUAUCCAUAAUCUGUUUUUCAUUAGGGCACUUGACUUUCUGGAAAAUAGGUGUCGAGGUGUGUUGUACAUAUCAUUAGCUUUGCACAGUUCAAUUAUUGUUUCAUUACUGAAUAUGCAAUCUCUGCAGUGAAAUUAAAGCUGUUAUGUUUGUUCCCCCCGCUCGUCAAGUACUAAGCUUUACACCACCAGCAGCAAAUUUACCCUGGCAGCAUAUGGGUGAAAACGCUGGGGGUGUGUAAAUACGUUGCGCUAAACUAAGUUUUACAUUUAAGUCCAAUUCAUUAAAUGUAUGCAAUUACUUCCAACAUAUUUUUACGUCAAUGAUUAUCAAUAGGAGAAAGUAAUCGCUUUGUUAUUGGCCCUUGGACGCCCCUGGCAUCUCUUGUACAGCACAAAGUUUUCAGCUAUGAAAGUAUAUUCUAGGCAUAUGUCUUAUUGUCCAGUGUUUUAACAGUAGUGAAAAUACUGCCUUUAGUAGUUUUAAAAAAAAAAUUAUGUAGAUUUCCAGAGACUCCAGAAUGAGGGAAUCUCUGAGGGAGGACAACCAAGCCCUGAGGGAAUGCAAUGCACAAGCAGCUUCGGAUGACAGCGGCUCACUUCAAGAGCAGGUGAAGCAAGUAGGGUCAAUGUUGAAGACAUUUGCUCUCACUGGGCAAUCAGGUGCGUUACCUGAAAGGAGCAUCUGACCGUGAAGGCAGAAAAAGGCGCCGCACAGCUGAGAAGGACCCACAGCCGACCCCUUAAACCUAGGCUGACUACUGACACCCCAGCAUCACUGACAACUGGAACACUUUCUUUAUCGUGCAGUCAGUAACAUCAAGAAGCCAGAAGUGCCAGACUACAAUCACCAUAUCCACCCUGUUUUUUUUGUAUUUUAACUUUAGUAUUGGCUUAUUUCAUUCUGUCUUAACGAUUCUAUUAUAGUUUGUAAAUCCUAUUUCAUACCUGUUACUUGAUAUUGCACAUUAACUAGUACCAAAAUUCUACUUUCAUUUCAUCAUUGUGCUUAACUGUUAUUCUAUUAAUAAUAGCUUGGAAAUACUAUUUACUACCUCUGAUACUUGAUAUUGCACAUUACCUGGUACCAAAUAAUCUAUUUAGUCUGUUUUUAACAUCAGCAUUUUUCAUUCCAUCACAGUGCUUAACUGUUAUUCUAUUGUUAAAUAUAUCUUGUAAAUCCUUGUGCCACAGGUCGGCUUUGCAGUUAUAAUGGUCUGUUCUACUACUGUUUUUACCUCCGUAUUUUUAUAUAAAUAAAUAUGUCAAGUUUUGUUUAUCACAGAUACAAGAGACACAGAUCUUAUUGCAGCACGGUGUAAAUCUUGUGCUCCAGGUCAGCAAUGCCAUGAUAAUGGUCUAUUCUACUCUAGAGCUUUACUCUAAAUUAUUACCACUUUUCUUAUUGUUAGAAAUGGCUUGAAAAUGUGAUGUUAUACCUCGAUUUAUUUGGUAUCCUGCACAUUCUUUGGUACCAAAUAUCCUCAUUACUUGUUAUGUUUACUGGUAAUUAUUUUCAUCCCAGAGCUGACCACUUUAUAUUAUUAACAAUUAUUGUGUUUGUGUUAUAAUUUGCUUGUAUGGCUGUUUUUUUUUACCAACAUUUAAUUGGAAACCUGCAUGUUCUGUAGUGUGUAUUUAUAUGUAUAUUUUUUUCUGCCUGUUAUUUAUUUCAGUGAUCUGACACAUCUUGUUUGAAUGACAGUUACUGUACUUUGAAAUGUGG
Molecule: long non-coding RNA, 2494 nt
Organism: Esox lucius (northern pike)
Lineage: Eukaryota; Metazoa; Chordata; Actinopteri; Esociformes; Esocidae
Source: Ensembl